CCUACGGGGGGCUGCAGUGAGGAAUAUUGGUCAAUGGACGCAAGUCUGAACCAGCCAUGCCGCGUGCAGGAAGACGGCUCUAUGAGUUGUAAACUGCUUUUGUACGAGGGUAAACUCACCUACGUGUAGGUGACUGAAAGUAUCGUACGAAUAAGGAUCGGCUAACUCCGUGCCAGCAGCCGCGGUAAUACGGAGGAUUCAAGCGUUAUCCGGAUUUAUUGGGUUUAAAGGGUGCGUAGGCGGUUUGAUAAGUUAGAGGUGAAAUCCCGGGGCUUAACUCCGGAACUGCCUCUAAUACUGUUAGACUAGAGAGUAGUUGCGGUAGGCGGAAUGUAUGGUGUAGCGGUGAAAUGCUUAGAGAUCAUACAGAACACCGAUUGCGAAGGCAGCUUACCAAACUAUAUCUGACGUUGAGGCACGAAAGCGUGGGGAGCAAACAG
This 440-nucleotide ribosomal RNA is filed under the name uncultured bacterium. RNAcentral's name for it is "bacterial SSU rRNA". It matches the Rfam family "Bacterial small subunit ribosomal RNA", at positions 338 to 775 of the family's 1533-position model. The record is from RNAcentral.